This is a long non-coding RNA of Pseudopipra pipra, 9101 nucleotides long. RefSeq lists it as uncharacterized. The record is from RefSeq and is a predicted model, not a curated record. Lineage: Eukaryota; Metazoa; Chordata; Aves; Passeriformes; Pipridae. The transcript is spliced from 4 exons.
GUGGCGGCGGAGCGGGGGCGCGCACGCGCGCAGGGCGGGGCCGCCAUUGGUCGCCGGCGUGAGGGGAGGGGGAGGAGUCGGCGCGCGCGUCGUCUCCUUUCGGCGGGCGCCGCCCCCCCCCCCCAUUCUCCCCUCAGCCCUCGGGGGGGUCCUGAGGCGGGAAGCGGGAGUCUGAUGGUUCGGGUCCUGCCUAAGGUUCUGUCUCGGCCCAAGCGGCCCCAGAGGAAGGGCCCUGUGAGGAGGUGGGAAGGGUUUUGCUGGCGCUUCUCUCUCUGUCUCUCUCUCACAAUUUUUGGCGCUUGCGAAAGUGGCGGAGCUUCCCGGGGAGACCGGGGAGGAAAAAGCUUCGGGGCACGGGAGGAACGGCCUCAGCACGCUGUGGGAGGAUGAGCUCCCUCUAAACCUUACGGGGAACGGGACCCUCAGACUGCUCAAACCUCACAGGGGGACCAGCCCCUUGAACCUCACAAGGAACUGGGCCCUCAGCCCUUCAAACUUCUCAGGGGGAUCAGCUCUUCAUCCCCCUCAGACCUCGCGGGGAGAUCAGCCCUUCAUCCUCCUCAAACCCCACAGGGAACAGCCCUUCAUCCUCCUCAAACCCCACAGGGAACAGCCCUUCAGCCCGUCAGACCUCACAGGGAACUGGACCCUCAGCCCUUCAGCCCGUCAGACCUCACAGGGGAUGAUGGUUCUCCUCAAAAAGUCCUCUAAGGAGCAGGGCUGCAACCACAGGGUGACAGUAGGAGUUUCCCAUUCCAUUAAAAUGCCCUUUCACUGUCUGAAACAGAAACUCGUGCUGAAUGGUAAAAGGAUCAAAACCACCUCUGCCCUUUGCUGUUCUCCAGCGUGUUUGCUUUUAGCAUUCAGCCCAGCACUGGCACAGAAUGGGAGGAUUUCCCAAAUGGCUUUGUUACAACAUUAAGCCUGGUAACCUACCCUGGGUCACUCCUGAGCAGAAAAUAAGGAGCUUGAAAGAAAAACAUUGAUUUCCAAGGGCGGCCUGUUCCAAGGAUUGUUCCUGCACUGAAACAAAGCCUGUGAAAACACCAGUUGCCAGUCAUUCCCCAAGUUACUGUUUCCACAGGGAAUGAUCUUGCCACAUCAGAGCUGCAGAAAGGUCACGCCGAAGUUACUUUCUCGCUGAUACUUUGCUGCUGUUCCUCCAACCCAGAAGCACCGAGGGCCCACAGCUCACGACAGUCACGAGGUGAGCGUCACGCGUCAGACAUUCCCACAAACACCGCGGCCUUCCCCAUUUUCUGUCAACCUGUUUGAUUGUGCCAUACCCAGGGAACGUGUGACAGAAUUAAUCAUCCUGCUGGGCUGCACACCGAGGGAAGGGAGCAGAUGAGCUGUGGCAAGGCUGUUGUUAGCACUGAGAAACUGCGACAAAAGAGAGGCAGACUGCGAGCCAGACGUGUGUCAGUCACCGAGUGAGACACGCUGUGAUUUAUAACGUAACAACAGUUGACGGGAACGUGGAUCUCCCAUUUCAAAGUGUUGUCUCUGUGUAGAUUAAGAGUAGUAUCUGUCAUCAGGAAACAAAGGGAAAAGAAAUAUGUUUGAUAAAAGCAAUCCCGUGCUCUCCCGGAGGCAGAAACCGCUGUGUGGUUGGAAUGGAAGUAAAGGAUUUCUCUGCGAGUUCCAUCCCGGGCAGCAAAAAGAAAAUGUGUUGUGACAAGAGGAAGUGCAAAUAAUUAAUACCAGAGGAUCAAAUGAAAGGAGUGGCUUUGCAAGGAGUGACUAAUGCUGAGUGUGUUCCAGCAAAGCCCGGGUUGCACUGUGGGCAGAGGAGCUCUCGUGGCCCGGGCGCACAGCGGGCAGGGCCCCGGCCCCGCGGCUCCACGGGGCAGCUCCCCUUUCAAAGGCAGGGCUGCUCUUCCUCUGAGCUCCCCAGGUGCUGCACACGGGGUCCCCAGCACUGCAGCACUCUGGCUGUUGUGUACACAGAGAGCAACACCAGAGCAUCAAACAUGGAACGAGCUCGGGAGCGCUUUGCCAGCAGCUGAUUACAGUGGGAAGUGCAUCUCAAAGCAGCAGGGCAGCGGAGUAAAACAAAAGCCACGGAGCCUGUGCUGCCCUGUCUUUGGCACAUCCUUGUGCUUCCCUUAAUUCUGCCUCGGAGCUUGGAAGGCAAGGCCAAAGCUUCUUAUUUGCUAAUUAAGGUUCCACCCAAUUCAAACACCCAACAAAGGACAUCCCCAAACAGAGGGACCUGCCAGCCCUCCUGGCCCUGCCAACAGGCUGAUGUCUCAGUUCAGUGCUCUCCCAACACAGAGAGUGAAAGAGCCCUGGACAGUGGCAAAUCCAACUGUGUGCACACACACAUUGCUGUGCUGGCACACACCUCUGGUUGGGAUCCAAAGGCUCCAGCUCCCUGGUUUUGUUGUGCACACUCCAGACACCCCACAGACAGGGGUAAAACAGAAAGACAUUGAAACAACACAGCUCUAUUUUAUGGUGUCAAAUGGCUAAUGACAGUAAUUAAGGAUUUAAAAGGCCUUUAUCAAGGGGCAUUAUCUAAGAUACCAUCAUGCCUGUAAUCAGUCAGGGAAGAAUUGCUUGAUCAAGCCAAGAAGGCAACAAAAAUAGCCCAACCUCUUGCCAUCUGCUCCAGCCACCACAUCCCACCCCAGUGCCUGAAUGCAGCAGUGAGUCACAGCAGGACACAGAUGAGCAGGCUGUGUCCCUGUCAUUCCAGCUGAACGUGCAGGGGCUGUUGAAGUGUUCCAGUGGGCUCCCAAAACAAAACCAGUAGCUCCAACAGCAUUUUGCCUUCCCCCUUUUGUGGAUUCAUUGUGCCUGUGCUGCAAGGGAGAAGACAGGUCUUUGGUUGGCUGUGAAAGUUUUCGUCACCCCCAAGCAACAGGAAAGGAAUUUCCAGGUGGAAUUAGCAAAGCCUCCACCCCUACAGUCCAAGCAGCUGCUGAGUAUCACUGAUCAUUCCAUCAAAUGGAGCAUUCACCACCCUCCUGGGAAGAACAGGUUAUUGGAAAACAUUCCUCGUUCCAAUUCCUCUUUGGCAUCACAUUGCAAGACAUCUGGCACUGAUGGUUGGAGUUUGUGUUUAACUAAACCACAUGGACAGGCAGGUGGUUUAAGUGUAAUGCAAAAUACCUGCAUAUUUAUCUGCCUUUAUCAGCUCUCCUUCCUGUGAUCUGUCAGUAAAUAAAUACCACAUCAGCUGCCUGCACGUACCAUAAGCACCCAGAUCCAUCCCAUCCCACGUGGUCAUGGUGCUAAAUCUGCCCAGAGCAGCAAAUUACAAACAGCAGCACACCCAGAGCAUCUUCCCAACUGCUUCCUCUCUGACUCCCUGCCUGCUCUGCACUGCAAGACUUGGGUAAUGUUUGCACUUGCACAGCUCCUGGAAGAUGGAGACACUCAAACACAGAAAUUAAUAUUCACAGGAGAGCUGUCAGGGGAAAGGGAAGCGUUCUCCCCGAGGUGCACUGUUACAGUACAGUGUGUUUGACUGGCACCCUCCUUCCCUUCCCAGGGAGAAACAGGAGAUGCAGAAUCUGUUUGUACUCUUCCCCAUCCAACCAGAACACCCUUCCAAAGGAUUCCUGCCAUCAGCAGGCAAUAUAAUCCCACGGAUUUACGUGGCUGUGGUCGGUGUUACGCCACCUUCCAACACCUUCAGAGCAGGAAGCAGAGUUGUGUUCCAGAGGAGAGGGGGAAGCAGGACAGCCACAGCCUUGGGAGGGCUCAAAGACACAUCUCGUGUCUGAUCUCACAGCAGUGAACCAGGCUGAUGGACAACUUCUAAAUCCAGUGAGAGCCUCAGAGGAAGCCUGGCCAGAGAAGUCCAUCUGUGCCUCCCACUUGUAUAUUCCUGGCUUUGGCUGAGCUCUGAGCGCCGCGGACACUGAGAGGUGGAACAAAGCCUUGGAUUUUCAAGGGGAACUCAAGGCCUUCUCAAUCCUCUGAAAGGCAAAGUGUACACAUGAUAAGCCAAGAGAGCCAUUCCAUGCUGCAGUCACAUGCUGUGUGGAAGCUGUAAUCUCACAAGGACACAGAUAUGGCCAUGCAAAUAUGGGUUAUGCCUGUGCUAACAACCAGCUUCUGUCCCCAGAGCUCCUGAGUGGCCUCUAAUCUGGCUGCUAAUGCAGGUGAAAGCUCGUGCUGGAGAAGCUUCAUUUCUCUUGUGCUCCCAUUAGCCAGGAACCUGCUGCCCUUCCAUCCCCUGACUUGAGAGACUUGGUGCAAAUCCCAGACCCACUUGGGGAUGGAACCCACUUGUCAGCUUGGAGCUGGAACGGGGCAUCCUCUCCCCCUGCAAUCUGCUGGCUCCUGAAGGCUGCAGAAAUCAGCUCCACGGCUUGGCCUGGGGAAGAAAUCAGGCUCUGGGCUCUCGGAGACUCUGCGAGGGUUUGUUUAAAAACAAAACAGAAAAAAAAAAAAACCACAAAACAACCAGCCAAACAACUGGCGAAAGGAACGUUAUUUUCCCCUGGGACUACCCAAGGGAUGCUCAGCAAUCCGCUCCCCAUCCAGCUGUGCGGUGCCUCCCACCCAAUCCGCUCCCCAUCCAGCUGUGCGGUGCCUCCCACCACUCCGCUCCCCAUCCAGCUGUGCGGUGCCUCCACCGCUCCCUCGGAGCUCAGGGACCCGCCCCCGCCGUGCUCCCGGUGCCACACGGCGACAGUGACAUCCAGCGGCAGCGACACCGCCCACAGCAACCCGCGCCCGAGCCCCGGCCACCGAAAAUGCCUGGGAAAUGCCUGGGAAAUUCCAGCCCCCUCAGGGUGCCGGGAAGGGCUUUAGCUUGAAAACACAGGUUUAGGUGCUGGGUGCCAGCACGGAAGGACAGACAGACACCUCCCAGGGUGAGGAUUUCACCACUCACCUCUCAGCCCUUUGCUGCUUCCUCCCAACAGCCCCACGGUUGAGCAAGAGCUGUUGCCCAGGCAUGAGUCAACCUGGGGUGCUUUGCUCACAGAAAUAUCUCCAAAAGUGGGGUUUGUUCUUUUGUUCGGUUUUUUUUAAGCCAUUUUGCUGUCCUUCAGCAAAGCCCAGCUCGGGACUCACAGGACGGACACGGCAGCAGCUGUAAAUCAGCUGUUGCCUCCUCAGAGACCUGCAGGGACACAGAGAGAGUCACCUCCACCACCCCUGGGAAGGUGAGGGCCUGGCACAACCAGUGUCACAUUGUCACCGAGCAGGAGCAGCCUCUCCCUGCUCCCCUGGAGCAGAGGGAUGAGCAGGGAGGGCGGGAUCCGUGCUGGGGCUGCAGCAGUCGGGCAGGGAGAAGAGCAGGAGGGAGUGGGGACUGAGCCAUCCCAGCCAGUGGUAAUUAGGGUGUCUCCCCAGAGCAGUGUGGAUGUCAAAGCAUAGCUGUGGUUUGCCUUUGGGCCCACCCCAGCCAGGCCACACGUGUGUGUUCCACUGCAAAAAUGCAGCCAGACCUGUCGCAGGGGUGUUUGGCAGCCAGGCCUGGGAGCCUCAAAGGGGGAAUGCAGCAGGGAUGGUAACAGCCACUGCUGACAGAUCAGCUCUGCCACAAACAGGUGCCACAGCCUGCCCAGGGAAGGAGGGUUUGUCCCACACGAGCCUCUUUUCAAGCAGCUGAAGUACAAUCACACAUCCUGUGGGAGUUCUCAUGCACUUGGAGCCAUCUUGAUGUUCAUCCCCUUUGCUCCCCAGUCUCUCUCUCUCUGCCCCUAAAAAAGUCCAGUCUGGGCUGUGACAGCUCUGAGGGAGCACUUCAAACCCAAACUGGCAAACUGAGAGUCAAAGCCCCAGAGCUGCCAGACAGAGGCUGAGGAGGAGCCCCACAGUGCCCUGCUGGCUGGGGCUCCAGGGAUGAUCCUCCUCUGCUUGGCUGCUUCCCUGGAGGAACAGGGAAAACCCCCCCAGCCAAUUCCUGCACCAGGAAAUGCACCCAAGACACAGAGCACGGGAAACACGGGAAACCAGAGCACUUGGAAUGGCAGGAACAUCCCAGGGGCCUGGGGCUGCUCCUGCCUGUGAGCCUGGGUGGGCCACAGAGCAGCUGCUGUCCCCGGGGAUUCCUGAGGACACGGGGAUGGAACCAAAUGUGGAACCCACCCAGCCAAGCCCCAGAGCACAGACUGGGCUCACCAGUGUCACUCCUGCCUUCCACCUGGGGGGUUUUUGUUUCUGAGGUUCCCAGACAACAUCAGGAGACCAACAGAAAGACAGAACUUGGUUAAUACAGCAUCACCACCUGCACAAAAAGCAGGGAAUAAAGACUGUCUCCAUGGUUUCCCAAAACCACAAACCCCUGCAAUACUUGCAGCAUCAUAGCAACAAGCUUCAGCCCAGCAACAUGGAAAUUCUGUUCCUUGAAACCACGUGACCUUAAUUAUUAUUAUCCUGGAGAUUCCCAACAGUUGUGCCCCAGCACUGAGGCUGGAUUGGGGCUGUGGAAGUCCCAGACCUACCUCCAGUGCAUUGUUCCUUCUGUGUAAACCCCAGUGGAGGAGCAGUGUUUGGAGGAAGCAGCAGCUGAUCCUUCCCUUGCUGUGGCAAAAACCCUCUUCAGGGGAUUGGGCACUGCUGGGUUAGGGUUGGGCUUGAUGAUCCUAAGGGUCUUUUCCAGCCUGAAUGAUUCUGUGAUUCUGAAAGAUCCUGGCUGGGCUUUGGGGUUGGCCAGACCUGACUGAUGGCAGAAUCCAGGUUUUAAGGAAACAUCAACAGCUUGGUACAGAAGUCCUUUAGGCUCCUAAAAAAACCCCAAAAGAUCCUUCACUCCCUCAUGCUGAAGCUGGGAUGGGUGGGUGGGGCUCAGCUUCUGUCUUCAGGAGAACAGAAUAUUUCUUGUAGCUGAAGGUAAACCCAGUGUAGGAGCACAUGUGGCUGCAUCAGAAAAAUCCUGUCUGCCCUCAGUGUCACACUUGUUUAAGACAGAACUGAGCAAGAUUAAAGGCUGCUCAAGACUUGGAUUAUCCUACAAUUUUUCCAGUAGGACAUGAGGUGACUUAGAAGUGACAGGAAAGCUCUCCAGGAAAACUGAGCUCUGCCAGAAAUAACCUCAGUUUCCUGACCAGGUGAUGUGGGCAAAGAGGAAAGAUUCACCUUCGAAGGUUCCUGCUCCAAGCAUGAUCAGAAAACCUUUGGAAUAAACCAUGGAUGCACCAGUGCCCCUCACAGGGAUUGCAUUUUCCUGCUGUUGGAUUUUGGAAGCUGGUGGGCAGCAGCACUACCAGAGCAGACCUGACAACUGGGAUGUGCAUUUCCUGGGCCCUUUUCCAUGAAACAUCAGGGAAUUCAUGGAAUUGUUGCACAACCUUGGCUUUAGCUCUUAAGGAAACUAAGAUUUGAAUGCAUUUUAUAAAGUGUCAAUGAGUAACAAACCACAGGGAAAAACCACCCAAAAUUCCAUUUCCCUCUGCAAACCACAACCUGAAGGGAUGGAAACAAAGGCCACUGGUGACAGUUGAGGGCAGUGACACACAUUUUGUGCCAGGGGAAGCAGAAAUGUUGUUCAGGGAGAAACAAAGGAUGUCAGGAAUAAGCAGAACUUGCUCUGCCCAAAGCCCUGCAGGAGUGACACCGGCACUGUCACCCUGGGCCAGGCAGCCCCGGGGCAGGAAUUGGCCCUGCCAGGGAUGCACCAGAGCUGUGCCAGCCAGGAGGAGCUUCAGGAAGCCCAAGGGAGCAUUUCUCCUGAUGUCUGGAAAACCCCAAAGCAGGCAGAGCCCAGCCAGCCCCAGGCAGGUUCUGGGGACUGUGGUUCUGUUUGUCACAGGAGGAGGAGCUGAUCCUCACUCAGACCAACGGGGAGGGAAGUCAUCCCCGGGAGGAACUGGGUGUGUAACCCCCAAAAUCAGCACAACAGCCUCCCACCUCCCUUCCCCCUUCACCUGGGCACAGCAGUUGUGGGGUUGCUGCUGUUGAUUCUUCCCUGGUACCAGCUGAAGGAAACAGAACUUUUUACAGUCUCCUGUGUUGGUUUGUGCUCAGCAGCUCAUCUUCAGCACUUCCAAAGUGCCACCAUUUCCCUGGGGAAAAUAAAUGCCCAUCUCAGCCCUGUGGGAUGAGGGACUAUGGGUCACUGAAGCAACUCAAACCUGAGGAUUUGAAAAUAACCCCCCCUAGAAAAGCCCAUUUCCAACCCCCCCUGUGCUCAGGCAGCCACACGAGACACUUCCCUGCUCACUUGCACGAAAAGCUUCCAUAUUUCCACAGCUACUUCAGAGGGGGAAUAAAAGACCAACACGCAGGGAAGGAGCUGCAAAGGAUCCACAUCUUGCAGGUAACACAGGUUCCCACUUCACAGGUACCCCACAGGCUCAUCCCACAGCCCCCAUCCACAAGGAUUUGCCCACAGAGGCUGGAAUCAACACCUUCUCUCAUCCCACAGCCCCAUCCACAAGGAUUUGCCCACAAAGGCUGGAAUCAACACCUUCUCUUUGCCGAGGCAGGAACGUGCUGGGAGCAAAGUUUGAACCAAGUCAGUGCAGAUACCUCAGGCUGCAGGAACACUCUAUUUAUUAGGUCAAUAUUUCAGUUGAGCAAUACAGUUACAGAAUAUCACAAUGCUGGUUACAAACAGGGGAUGGUUCAUGGGCACAGACAACGCCCGGCUCUGCAGUCGGGGGCAGGGGGACACCAAAGUCCGCCCUGACACCACAGGGAGGGUGGUCUGCAAGGUCUGGUCAUGAGCAAGAGACUUUUAUAUAAAUGAAAGUGGCACUACAGGCAGAGAUUCUGGUUUAGAGGUGGGUUAGUGUGAGUAUUUCCAUUUAUACAGUUAUACAGUUCAAGCAACACCUUUUUUUUCUUUCUUUUUUUUUUUUUAAAUGCUAUUAAAUUAAAAUCCCCUGUAGUUCAAUAAAGUAUAAAAAUAGUACUGAACCUGGUAAUAUUCAAUAAAAUGUAGAGUUCAUUCACAUCAUUAAGUAGUAAAGAAAUUGUAAAGUUGUAGUUACCAUGGCAACAUUGCUUCCCAGAGAGGGAUACACAGAGAAGUUACACGUAUGGUACCUGCGACGAUUACUGAGCGAUCCAACACUGAACUUGUGCACCACAGACCCAGUUUCUAAAUAGCUCUAUAUAUUUAUAUAGUAUAUAUCUUCUUCAUCUUAAAAUUUACUUCUGAAAAGAAAAAAAGAAAAAAAAAAAAAAGAAAA